Molecule: ribosomal RNA, 711 nt
Filed under: Triticum aestivum (bread wheat)
Lineage: Eukaryota; Viridiplantae; Streptophyta; Magnoliopsida; Poales; Poaceae
Description: partial small subunit ribosomal RNA
Source: RNAcentral
AUGUCUCUGAUAAUACGAUAUGUCAAUGCAUCUUCGACUUUUGUUUCCAUUGAGGAAUCCUUUUUAGGAUUUUUGGAUGUCAAUGAUACAACUGGGCAAGGGCUUUUUGAUGUUUUGCAGGAAGAACUACGGAAUCUUGACCUAGAUAUAGAUGAUGUGAGAGGACAGAGCUACGAUAAUGGUGCGAAUAUGAAAGGUAAGAAUAAUGGUGUUCAAAGGAAACUUUUGGAUAAAAAUCCUAGAGCUUUUUAUUCAGCAUGUGGUUGUCAUAGUCUUAAUUUGACACUUUGUGACAUGGCAAAAACUUGUGGUAAAGCAAAGGACUUUUUUGGAAUCAUACAACGCAUCUACACAACAUUUGCUAAUUCAACUAAAAAGUGGCAGAUCUUGAAAGAUAAUAUAGAUGAUACAACAGGAUUGACUCUCAAGUCGUUGUCAUCUACUCGUUGGGUGAGUCGAAUAGAUAGUGUUAAAGCUAUAAGAUUUCAGCUUUCGAACAUACGAGAAGCUUUACUGCAAGUAUCUGAUAUUGAUAAUGAUCCAAAAACUAGCAGUGAAGCUAAAUCUCUCGCGAAUAAUGAACUUGGUGAUUUUGAAUUUUUAGUAGCUAUUGUUAUUUGGUAUGACUGUAUGCCAUCAAUCUGGUCAGCAAGAACUUACAAUCAAAGGAUAUGCUUAUUGAUGUUGCUAUUGAGCAAGUGCAGGGGCUAA